RNAcentral lists this unclassified non-coding RNA (223 nucleotides) under Hevea brasiliensis (rubber tree). The record is from RNAcentral. Lineage: Eukaryota; Viridiplantae; Streptophyta; Magnoliopsida; Malpighiales; Euphorbiaceae.
GGUAAGCUAAAAAAUAUUUAAAUGAUAGUCAUUACGUAAUAUAAAAGCCAUUACUUAAAACCAUAGUUAACCCAUUAUUUAAAGAUAGAUUCUGAGUUACAUUAGUAACAGCUAUUACCACCAUUACUUAAUAGUAACAGUUAUUACUUACCAUUAAGUAAUGGUAGCGGCGUUACCUCAAUAAUUUGUCUAAUAAAAAACACAUUUAGACGGUAUUUUUUUU